RNAcentral lists this ribosomal RNA (253 nucleotides) under uncultured bacterium. Its description in RNAcentral is "partial 16S ribosomal RNA". It matches the Rfam family "Bacterial small subunit ribosomal RNA", at positions 524 to 776 of the family's 1533-position model. The record is from RNAcentral.
UACGUAGGGUGCAAGCGUUAAUCGGAAUUACUGGGCGUAAAGCGUGCGCAGGCGGUGAUGUAAGACAGAUGUGAAAUCCCCGGGCUCAACUUGGGAACUGCAUUUGUGACUGCAUCGCUGGAGUGCGGCAGAGGGGGGUGGAAUUCCGCGUGUAGCAGUGAAAUGCGUAGAUAUGCGGAGGAACACCGAUGGCGAAGGCAAUCCCCUGGGCCUGCACUGACGCUCAUGCACGAAAGCGUGGGGAGCAAACAGG